Molecule: long non-coding RNA, 1226 nt
Filed under: Pan troglodytes (chimpanzee)
Lineage: Eukaryota; Metazoa; Chordata; Mammalia; Primates; Hominidae
Description: long non-coding RNA NONPTRT013328
Source: RNAcentral
GUUCAUUUUUACACAUAUGGCUCCAGUCUUUGUUUAGCAAGACUGUCCUUUCUCCAUUGAAUUGCCUUAGCACUUGUGUUGAAGGUGUGGGUUCUGUUCUCUCCCACUGAUCUAUGUGAACUGCCUUCCUCCAAGGAAGGGAUGUGUUAUCUCAUAUACUCAUAGAGUGUACAGACUUCAACACUGUAGGUUUACAGUGAGGUCAUGAAAUCAGGUAGGUAAGGCCUCCAACUUUGUUCUUCUUUCUCAACAUUGCUUAGGCUAUUCUACUUUCUUUGAUUUUUCAUACAAAUUUAGAAUAAAAUUUCCCAUUUCAAAAAAUAGCUUGCUGGGAUUUUGAUGGAAAUUGAAUUUUAAUUGGGAUUUAUUGCACUGAAUCUAAGAUCUAUUUGGAGAGAAUUGAUAUCUUAACACAACUGAGUUUUCUCAUCCAUGAACAUGAUAUAUCUCUCCAUCUUUCAGGUCUUGCUUAGUUUCAUUAAUAAUUUAUAGUUAUAACUAAAGAUGAGAUGGCAGAGGCUGCGGCCAUGGCUUUACAGCCAUGGGAACAGAGCAAGUUAUAGCUAGGCCCACUGCAGCCGGGAAGCUGGGCAGGAAACUAAGGCCUGUGGGCGGGGCCAGCCAGGCCUGGGUGCAGGUAGUAUGGGUCCCGCACACCCUGCUGGGGAGAUGCAAGGGACUCUGACUACAACCAGGUUCUGUAAAUUAUAAACAACACAAACUUAGAAAAGCAUCAUCUGUUGGAAUUAGUGUCAAAUGGGCAAUGUUAUAAAAGAAGCUGUAGAACCUCAGUAGGGACACAGACUUUCAGACUAGAGUAAAUGGAAGGCUGCUAGAGACUUUCUCCACAUUCAAAGAAAAGCAAACAAACGUCUUAGAGUAAUUUAAAUCAUUUUUCUUUUGAGAUUCUUUUCAUAUUUAUGAUUUUAAUACUUUAUGCUGAUUAACUACAUAGAGAUUAUAGGCUUUGCAAAAGGAAUACCUCAGCCUGUCACAGUUACAUUUGUAUGAAACGACCUCACUGCAGGAAUGUUAACAAUUGUAUUAGAGGUUCCGUUUCUAAGUUUAAAUAGGAAUAAUCUACCUCAAUCUAUUCAGUUAGAACAAAAGCCACUUCCGCAAAGCAAUAAGCAUGUAUCUUCUUCCAGCCUAGUUGCAUUUGAUUAACGAUUGCAUGAGAACCUUUCUCAUACUUAGCUUUUCACCUGGGGUUUUUGAAAUGCUUA